AGUGAACGCUGGCGGUAGGCCUAACACAUGCAAGUCGAACGGCAGCACAGUAAGAGCUUGCUCUUACGGGUGGCGAGUGGCGGACGGGUGAGGAAUACAUCGGAAUCUACUUUUUCGUGGGGGAUAACGUAGGGAAACUUACGCUAAUACCGCAUACGACCUACGGGUGAAAGCAGGGGAUCUUCGGACCUUGCGCGAUUGAAUGCGCCGAUGUCGGAUUAGCUAGUUGGCGGGGUAAAGGCCCACCAAGGCGACGAUCCGUAGCUGGUCUGAGAGGAUGAUCAGCCACACUGGAACGGAGACACGGUCCAGACUCCUACGGGAGGCAGCAGUGGGGAAUAUUGGACAAUGGGCGCAAGCCUGAUCCAGCCAUACCGCGUGGGUGAAGAAGGCCUUCGGGUUGUAAAGCCCUCUUGUUGGGAAAGAAAAGCAGCAGGUUAAUACCCCGCUGUUCUGACGGUACCCAAAGAAUAAGCACCGGCUAACUUCGUG
RNAcentral lists this ribosomal RNA (492 nucleotides) under uncultured bacterium. Its description in RNAcentral is "partial 16S ribosomal RNA". It matches the Rfam family "Bacterial small subunit ribosomal RNA", at positions 29 to 507 of the family's 1533-position model. The record is from RNAcentral.